GAAAUGCGAUAAGUAAUGUGAAUUGCAGAAUUCCGUGAAUCAUCGAAUCUUUGAACGCACAUUGCGCCCCCUGGCAUUCCGGGGGGCAUGCCUGUCCGAGCGUCAUUUCUGCCCUCAAGCACGGCUUGUGUGUUGGGUGUGGUCCCCCCGGGGACCUGCCCGAAAGGCAGCGGCGACGUCCGUCUGGUCCUCGAGCGUAUGGGGCUCUGUCACUCGCUCGGGAAGGACCUGCGGGGGUUGGUCACCACCAUAUUUCACCACGGUUGACCUCGGGUCAGGUAGGAGUUACCCGCUGAACUUAAGC
RNAcentral lists this unclassified non-coding RNA (304 nucleotides) under plant metagenome. RNAcentral's name for it is "partial contains 5.8S ribosomal RNA, internal transcribed spacer 2, and large subunit ribosomal RNA". The stretch from base 1 to 105 matches the Rfam family "5.8S ribosomal RNA", at positions 50 to 154 of the family's 154-position model. The record is from RNAcentral.